RNAcentral lists this ribosomal RNA (397 nucleotides) under Serratia symbiotica. RNAcentral describes it as "bacterial SSU rRNA". It matches the Rfam family "Bacterial small subunit ribosomal RNA", at positions 16 to 409 of the family's 1533-position model. The record is from RNAcentral. Lineage: Bacteria; Pseudomonadati; Pseudomonadota; Gammaproteobacteria; Enterobacterales; Yersiniaceae.
AUCAUGGCUCAGAUUGAACGCUGGCGGCAGGCCUAACACAUGCAAGUCGAGCGGUAGCACAAGAGAGCUUGCUCUCUGGGUGACGAGCGGCGGACGGGUGAGUAAUGUCUGGGAAACUGCCUGAUGGCGGGGGAUAACUAGUGGAAACGGUAGCUAAUACCGCAUAACGUCGCAAGACCAAAGUGGGGGCCCUUCGGGCCUCACGCCAUCAGAUGUGCCCAGGUGGGAUUAGCUGGUAGGUGAGGUAACGGCUCACCUAGGCGACGAUCCCUAGCUGGUCUGAGAGGAUGACCAGCCACACUGGAACUGAGACACGGUCCAGACUCCUACGGGAGGCAGCAGUGGGGAAUAUUGCACAAUGGGCGCAAGCCUGAUGCAGCCAUGCCGCGUGUGUGAA